Small nuclear RNA from Solanum verrucosum, 103 nucleotides. Lineage: Eukaryota; Viridiplantae; Streptophyta; Magnoliopsida; Solanales; Solanaceae. The record is from RefSeq and is a predicted model, not a curated record.
GUCCCUUUGGGGACAUCUGAUAAAAUUGGAACGAUACAGAGAGGAUUAGUAUGGCCCUUGCGCAAGAAUGACAUUCACAAAUCGAGAAAUGGUUCAAAUUUUU